UCGUAGCAGAUAGCUCAGUAACACGUGGCCAAACUACCCUAUGGAUCCGAAUAACCUCGGGAAACUGAGGCUAAUGCGGAAUAGCGUUCAUCGCCUGGAGUGGCACGAACGCGAAACGUUACGGCGCCAUAGGAUGUGGCUGCGGCCGAUUAGGUAGACGGUGGGGUAACGGCCCACCGUGCCCAUAAUCGGUACGGGUUGUGAGAGCAAGAGCCCGGAGACGGUAUCUGAGACAAGAUACCGGGCCCUACGGGGCGCAGCAGGCGCGAAACCUUUACACUGCACGCGAGUGCGAUAAGGGGACUCCGAGUGCGAGGGCAUAUAGUCCUCGCUUUUCACGACCGUAAGGUGGUCGUAGAAUAAGUGCUGGGCAAGACCGGUGCCAGCCGCCGCGGUAAUACCGGCAGCACGAGUGAUGACCGCUAUUAUUGGGCCUAAAGCGUCCGUAGCUGGCCACGCAAGUCUAUC
Molecule: ribosomal RNA, 468 nt
Filed under: Natrinema sp.
Lineage: Archaea; Methanobacteriati; Methanobacteriota; Halobacteria; Halobacteriales; Natrialbaceae
Description: bacterial SSU rRNA
Rfam family: Archaeal small subunit ribosomal RNA
Source: RNAcentral